UACGGGGGGGGCAGGCGUUGUUCGGAAUUACUGGGCGUAAAGGGCUCGUAGGCGGCCCACUAAGUCAGACGUGAAAUCCCUCGGCUUAACCGGGGAACUGCGUCUGAUACUGGAGGGCUCGAGAUCGGGAGAGGGAUGCGGAAUUCCAGGUGUAGCGGUGAAAUGCGUAGAUAUCUGGAGGAACACCGGUGGCGAAGGCGGCAUCCUGGACCGACACUGACGCUGAGGAGCGAAAGCUAGGGGAGCAAACAGG
Molecule: ribosomal RNA, 253 nt
Filed under: uncultured bacterium
Lineage: Bacteria
Description: partial 16S ribosomal RNA
Rfam family: Bacterial small subunit ribosomal RNA
Source: RNAcentral